Molecule: transfer RNA, 91 nt
Filed under: Ruminococcaceae bacterium YAD3003
Lineage: Bacteria; Bacillati; Bacillota; Clostridia; Eubacteriales; Oscillospiraceae
Also listed under: 5 other names
Description: tRNA_Ser_GCT
Rfam family: tRNA
About the family: Transfer RNA (tRNA) molecules are approximately 80 nucleotides in length.
Source: RNAcentral
GGAGAAGUACCCAAGAGGCCGAAGGGGAGGCUUUGCUAAAGCUUUAGGCCGGGCAACUGGCGCGGGGGUUCGAAUCCCCCCUUCUCCGCCA